CCGUAAUCGGAAUGAGUACACUUUAAAUCCUUUAACAAGGAUCCAUUGGAGGGCAAGUCUGGUGCCAGCAGCCGCGGUAAUUCCAGCUCCAAUAGCGUAUAUUAAAGUUGUUGCGGUUAAAAAGCUCGUAGUUGGUUCUGCGUGCCGCGCUGUCGGUUCGCCGCCUGUCGGUGUUACUGGCAUGUCGCGGCAUGUCCUGUCGGUGGUGAAUGAAAUCCCCGGUACUACGUAGGCUUUUAUUAGCUGAAGUAUGUGCCGUGGUGAUUUCAUUUACCGAUUUCUCCUACUCCGGUGCUCUUAAACGAGUGUCGAGGUAGGCCGACACGUUCACUUUGAACAAAUUAGAGUGCUUAAAGCAGGCUGAAAUAUCUGCCUGAAUAGUGGUGCAUGGAAUAAUAAAAUAGGACCUCGGUUCUAUUUUAUUGGUUUUAGGAAUAUGAGGUAAUGAUCAAUGUGGACUGGCGGGGGCAUUCGUAUUGCGACGUUAGAGGUGAAAUUCUUGGAUCGUCGCAAGACGCACUAGAGCGAAAGCAUUUGCCAAGUAUGUCUUAAUUGAUCAAGAACGAAAGUUAGAGGUUCGAAGGCGAUCAGAUACCGCCCUAGUUCUAACCAUAAACGAUGCCAGCCAGCGAUCCGCCGAUGUUCCUUUAAUGACUCGGCGGGGAGCUUCCACCCGGGAAACCAAAGCUUUUGGGUUCCGGGGGAAGUAUGGUUGCAAAGCUGAAACUUAAAGGAAUUGACGGAAGG
Molecule: ribosomal RNA, 747 nt
Filed under: Microstemmatoides atrocyanea
Lineage: Eukaryota; Metazoa; Arthropoda; Insecta; Hemiptera; Reduviidae
Description: SSU rRNA
Rfam family: Eukaryotic small subunit ribosomal RNA
Source: RNAcentral